ACUCAAAGGAAUUGACGGGGGCCCGCACAAGCGGUGGAGUAUGUGGUUUAAUUCGACGCAACGCGAAGAACCUUACCUGGGCUCGAACGACAAGUGGUAAAAGUCUGGAAACAGACGAUGACCCGCAAGGGAGCUUGCCGAGGUGCUGCAUGGCUGUCGUCAGCUCGUGUCGUGAGAUGUUGGGUUAAGUCCCGCAACGAGCGCAACCCUCAUCCUAUGUUGCCACCCCGCAAGGGAGCACUCUUAGGAAACUGCCCGCGAUAAGCGGGAGGAAGGUGGGGAUGACGUCAAGUCCUCAUGGCCUUUAUGUCCAGGGCUACACACGUACUACAAUGGCCGGAACAACGGGAUGCAAAGCCGCAAGGUGGAGCCAACCCCUAAAUCCGGCCCCAGUUCAGAUUGUGGGCUGCAACUCGCCCACAUGAAGGCGGAAUCGCUAGUAAUCGCGAAUCAGAAGGUCGCGGUGAAUACGUUCCCGGGCCUUGCACACACCGCCCGU
RNAcentral lists this ribosomal RNA (499 nucleotides) under uncultured bacterium. RNAcentral's name for it is "partial 16S ribosomal RNA". It matches the Rfam family "Bacterial small subunit ribosomal RNA", at positions 899 to 1397 of the family's 1533-position model. The record is from RNAcentral.